This 253-nucleotide ribosomal RNA is filed under the name uncultured bacterium. RNAcentral's name for it is "partial 16S ribosomal RNA". It matches the Rfam family "Bacterial small subunit ribosomal RNA", at positions 524 to 776 of the family's 1533-position model. The record is from RNAcentral.
UACGGAGGGUGCGAGCGUUGUCCGGAAUCAUUGGGCGUAAAGGGCGCGUAGGUGGCGGGACAAGCGUGCGGUGAAAGCUCGGGGCUCAACCCCGAGUCGGCCGUGCGAACUGUUUUGCUGGAGCACUGUAGAGGCAGGCGGAAUUCCGGGUGUAGCGGUGGAAUGCGUAGAGAUCCGGAAGAACACCGGUGGCGAAGGCGGCCUGCUGGGCAGUUGCUGACACUGAGGCGCGACAACGUGGGGAGCAAACAGG